ACUUGAAUUGAAGAGUUUGAUCAUGGCUCAGAUUGAACGCUGGCGGCAGGCUUAACACAUGCAAGUCGAACGGUAGCAGGAGAAAGCUUGCUUUCUUGCUGACGAGUGGCGGACGGGUGAGUAAUGCUUGGGAAUCUGGCUUAUGGAGGGGGAUAACGACGGGAAACUGUCGCUAAUACCGCGUAUUAUCGGAAGAUGAAAGUGCGGGACUGAGAGGCCGCAUGCCAUAGGAUGAGCCCAAGUGGGAUUAGGUAGUUGGUGGGGUAAAGGCCUACCAAGCCUGCGAUCUCUAGCUGGUCUGAGAGGAU
This 308-nucleotide ribosomal RNA is filed under the name Haemophilus influenzae. Its description in RNAcentral is "partial 16S ribosomal RNA". It matches the Rfam family "Bacterial small subunit ribosomal RNA", at positions 1 to 301 of the family's 1533-position model. Lineage: Bacteria; Pseudomonadati; Pseudomonadota; Gammaproteobacteria; Pasteurellales; Pasteurellaceae. The record is from RNAcentral.